RNAcentral lists this transfer RNA (72 nucleotides) under Marmota monax (woodchuck). Its description in RNAcentral is "tRNA.Thr". The record is from RNAcentral. Lineage: Eukaryota; Metazoa; Chordata; Mammalia; Rodentia; Sciuridae.
UGGGUGUAGUUCAGUGGUACAGCGUGUGUUUAGUGUGUACAAGGACAUGGGUUCAACCCCCUGCACCAUUAA